RNA transcript from Aedes aegypti (yellow fever mosquito), 4976 nucleotides. It is a transcript of the gene named nucleoporin nup124, with no coding region annotated. The transcript has 12 exons. The record is from RefSeq and is a predicted model, not a curated record. NCBI's taxonomy places the organism in Eukaryota, Metazoa, Arthropoda, Insecta, Diptera, Culicidae.
GGGCAACGUUUCAUUAGUACACGAACCGUCAAUCCGAAAACAAGUGCCAUUCUUCUACUCCUUUGAAACGCGCGGCGCGAUUUCCUCCGUAUCCUUUCUCGGUUGUUGAAGCUCUUCUGGGUUUAAACCCCCCUCUCUCCCCGUUUUCGGUUUUUGAUUUUAAACUGUGCAGUUAAAGUUAGUGCGUUUCACGAACCUACUUGGGCACUAGUUAUUAGUCCUUGUGCGUGCGAGUGUUGUGCGAAUCAAGUGUGGAACUUGCUUUUGCACCAGUUUGAGUUUUGUGUUUCAGUGCACAGGUUUUUGAGAGAGGAAUAUCACUGCGAACUGUGAAUAUCGAACCGAAUUAUUUGUUAGUGAAAAUCGACCUCAUUGAAGGAUUUAUUUAUUUGAAGUGCAUUACACGUUGUUAUAGACGAUUCUGUAGUUGUAGCUGAAAAAGUUUUCUUGAUAAUCAGUGUUUCUCAUCAGUAAAUUUACUGGUUCUUCAGGUUAUCAACCAACGACGAUUAUUGGAAUUUGCAGAAUUAUAACUUUCUGAAAGUUUUGGACGAGUUAAAUUUGAUAUCCCGUUUACAACUGGACGUUCCUUGGUUUCCGUUUCUCUUGAGUUCAAAUUAUCCGUUCCGGAAUGGUCACCCUCAAAACCACCCACAAGAGCAGCCGCUCGACGUCAUCGAUUAGCUCGGUGAGCCGCAAGGGCAAAAGCACCAGCGUCGUCCGGAAGAAGUACAAGGAAUCCUACCACGUGAUGGGUGGCUUCGAGCAGCGACCCUGGACCCCCACAAAGCGGCGAGGACCCAUCGCGGCGGAACACCGUGGUCCGGGACCGCAGUAUCUGCUGCCACAGCUGCUAGGUACGCGAGUAGUCGAUUCCAAGCGGGCGGCCGCACCCGCAUACAGUUUCGGUCAACGCCACAGACCCCGGACAGAGUCCUUCAGCCCCGGUCCCCUGUACAACAUCACCGGACUCGGAUGCAAGGGCAAAGACACACCGCCGGCUUACUGUUUGCAGAGUCGACCCAAAGAAAUCCCCAAGUACCUCACACCGGCUCCCGGCGAAUACAACGUGGAGAAGUCGGACAAAAUGCUCGUCAAAUCAGCCCCACGGUACACCUUUGGCGUCAAGAAGCCACCAAAGUCCACUAGCGAAACUCCAGCGCCCUGUGAUUACAAACCCGAAAAAGUAGUAUUAGAUAGCACCCCAAAGUUUUCAUUUGGAAUCAGGCCGGAAGUAAAAAUUCGUAGCGAAACUCCAGCUCCCGGUACAUACUCUCCAGAAAAAGUAUUACAUGACAAAUCACCAAAGUACAGCUUUGGCCUUAAAGUUAUUCCCGAAAGGCACGAAGAAACCCCUGCACCCGGAGCGUACCAACCGGAAAAGGCCAGUCUUGCAUUAGAUAGGAAACCUGCUUUUACAUUUGGCAUGAAAACAAUCAUUGAAAAACCUAACAAUACCCCAGCUCCUGGAGCCUACGAACCGGAGAAGGCCAAACUCGAUAACACCCCUGCCUACAGUUUUGGCAUCCGGCCUAACCUGGACAAACCAAACACUAAUCCCGCACCGUGUCAGUACGAGCCCGAGAAGGCCAAGAAACUCGAUCACUCACCUGCAUACCCAUUCGGCAUGCGUAUCAAUCACGAUAAGCCUAGCAAUACGCCUGCCCCCACGGCUUACGCAGUAGAGAAAGUAAACCUAGAUCAUCACCCCGCUUACAGUUUCGGACAGCGAACGAAAACCGACAAACCGAACACCAAUCCAGCCCCGGGAGCGUACGCGCCGGAAAAGGCCAACCUGGACGGGGCACCGAAGUACAGCUUCGGCAUUCGACCGACAAUCGACAAGGUGGACUCUGUCCCAGCUCCUGGGGCGUAUUCUCCCGAAAAGGCCAAACUAGAUAGCACUCCAGCGUAUAGUUUCGGAGCGCGAACCAAUCUCGAGAAACCAAGUGCCAUUCCCGGACCGGGAGCGUACGAUGCCGAUAAGGUGUUGGACAAGAACUCGCCGGCUUACAGCUUCGGAGCGAGAACCAACGUGGACAAGAAAAGCGACAUUCCUGGUCCGGGAGCAUACGAUACAGAUAAGGUAGUAGAUAAAACGCCAGCUUACAGUUUCGGAUUAAGAACAAAUGUUGAAAAACCAAGCGUUGUCCCAGGGCCUGGAGCCUAUGAUGCGGAUAAAGUAGUGGACAAAAGUACGCCGGCGUACAGUUUCGGUCUUAGGACAAAUGUUGGAAAGCACGACAAUAUUCCCGGCCCCGGUGCUUAUGAUUCCGAUAAAGUAGAUAAAAUAACUCCAGCUUAUAGCUUUGGAGUUAAGACCAACCUUGAUAAGCCCAAUAAUGUUCCUGGGCCAGGAGCUUACGAUUCUGACAAAGUGGAUAAGGGAACACCAGCGUAUAGUUUCGGAGUCAAAACGAAUAAUCAAAAGCCAAACAACGUUCCUGGUCCGGGUGCGUAUGACUCGGAUAAGGUCGUCGAUAAAGGCACUGCAUAUAGCUUCGGAAUCAGGUCUAAUGUAUCAAAGCCUAACACGGUUCCAGGACCGGGGGCAUACGAUGCGGGCAAGGUCAUUGACAAAGGCACUCCGGCGUACAGUUUCGGAGUCAAGCCGAAUCUCGACAAACCAAAUACCCUUCCAGGGCCAGGCGCGUAUGAUGCGGAUAAACUAUUAGACAAAAGUACCCCAGCUUACAGUUUCGGUGUUAAGACCAAUGUGGAGAAGCCUAAUAUUGUACCCGGUCCAGGUGCUUACGAUGCAGACAAGGUCAUAGAUAAGUCAACCCCGGCUUACAGUUUCGGUCUUAAGACAAACGUGGAAAAGAAAGAUACCAUUCCAGGCCCAGGCACCUACAACAACGAAAAAGUUGUAGAUAAGGUAACCCCGGCCUAUAGUUUCGGUGUGAAAACUAACACAACCAAGGUCAACAACACACCAGCCCCAGGAUCUUACUCACCGGAAAAAUGUAAACUCGAUAACACCCCUCAGUACAGCUUCGGCGUAAAAACCAAUGUGGAAAAGAAGGACACAAUCCCAGGUCCGGGAGCGUACAAACCCGAAUCAGUCAAUCCAGACACAACCCCGGCCUACACCUUCGGAGUUCGUCCCAACAUCGAUAAGGUCGAUGCCACUCCCGCUCCCGGCAGCUAUUCCCCCGAGAAGCAUAAGAUCCAUAAUCCGGCGUUCACGUUUGGAGUUAGGCCCAACAUUGACAAAAUCCAGCCAACUCCGGCACCCGGAGCGUACAACACGGAAACGGUAAAACUGGACAGCACCCCGGCGUACACGUUCGGAGUGAGGCCCAAUUUGGACAAAAUCCAGAUGACCCCAGCUCCCGGGGCCUACGAGGUCGAAAAGGUUAAACUCGAUCAUGCACCCGCCUAUCACUUCGGUAUCAAGGUGAACCGCGAGAAAGUGAACGAUGUGCCAGCUCCUGGAGCGUACAACCCCGACAAGCUGAAACUGGAGCAUGCUCCUGCGUACUCCUUCGGAAUUAAGCACAAAGGUGAAAAGCUGAAAGAUACUCCAGCCCCCUCGGCCUACCAACCGGAAAAGUGCAACCUGGACAUUGCCCCAGCAUUCACGUUCGGCGUGAAGGUAAAUUCCGAAAAGUUCACUGAUAGCCCAGUGGGUUUAGUGGCCACGAUGAGCAAUGGCAUGAACGGCGGCACCACCACCACCACUUCUACCUUAAUCACCUCUGCUGCUGCUGCCACACAAGCCACAAAAACCGCUGCAAAUGCAGUCCUUGAAAACGGUAACACAACCGUUGCACUGCAGCAAACAAGCAGCAAGAACAGUAGUGUACAGCAACAACAACAGCAUCAGAGCACCCACCAAUCGGAGCGGGUUUUGAGCAAUGGGGGCGCCAUCACGACCACCACCACAACCAGCGGCAGCAUGAAGAUGACCCGCGAAAGGAAAACCGUUUGCGAAGAGCACGUGACGUCGACGACCGGCACCACCACCGGAAACGGAAGCACCAGCGUGGUGACCAGCGAGACCCUGGUCCCGAACUGCAUCGCCGGUGUCAAAUCGCUGCAGAACGUGCAACACCAGCGAAUGGUUUGCACCGGACAUUUCCGAGCUUGAGAGCAUGUGAUAGGUUUUUGAUUGUGGUGUUGUUAGAAAGUUGUGCAUGUGUUGAUUUGUUUUGUAAGAAAGUGUGUUUCUUUUAUCAAUUUGUUAAAUGUUUGAUAGCUUCCUAGAUGUAGCUUGUCUGAAAUGGCUUAUUAUUUGAUCUGUUAUUUCUGUUUGCACUGUUUUCCAAGUAGAGUUACAAGUAGUUGUUAGAAAGUAAAUUUAUUGCUGUUGAUUUCGUCGCUAAGCCGUCUCCAUAAUUGAAGCCCCGAAUGAGUAUCACAUCCCAGACGUGCUCGGUUCAAGCAAAGAAGGCCCGAUCCGAUCGGCACCCGCCUACACAAUCACGGGCCGCCAGAAACCGCGACUUCCACAGUGUAUCACUUUCCCUGGGCCCGGUCAUUACGAUGCCAAAAUCGAUCCACUGGUAAAGAAGGCCCCCAUGUUCUCGAUGGCCACCCGCUUCCGGAUGCCAACGGACGAAGCGAUGAAACCGGGCCCGGCAGCACACCAUCCGGAGAAGGUGAACCUAGGACACGUGCCGUCGUACAGCUUUGGGAUCAAGCAUUCGGAGUAUCUUGGACAGUUUCCGGAACCGUCACGCUACCGUAAUCAACUAAUCUUUUGAGUAUUCUAUCAGUUUUUAUUUGGAAAAUGUUUCUGCUUCGUAUCGUUUCAAUUUUGUUUCACCCCUUCAUCAAGGUGCUACGCGAUAUAAUUUUAUUUUAUUUAACAAUGCAGAACAUGGGUAUACAAAAUACAUCUAGGGAAGAGUGCAAACAGUACGGUAUCAUUUUCUGGCAAAAUGAUGCUUAAAGAAUCGGUGAGAUUUGAGCUUUACGUUUAAUAAUGGUUUCGUUUUGAUUUCAACGAAUAAAAUUACUUACAAUCCAUA